GGAAAAUUCUUAAAGCACGAGAUUGUUGAAUCGGAGAUGAUACAAGCUAAACCUGCAGAAGGGAUCAGAAAAAGAAAUGUCACUGAGGACAGCCAAUCAAAGUGGAUAUUAAUGGGUAAUGAUUUUUAUUCGAUUUCAUGUGAUGAAAGAGCAGAAUGUGACGGAAUUGGUGUUUUCUUCAUCAUCUACUACCGUCUAUGGACAUUCUGAAUAUGGUACCUAGGCUACCUAUCUGUGAAAAACACCCACCUGGACAAAAAUCCUUAUGGGUGAGCGAUGGGGCGAUGCCUAUCAAUUCUACAAGAUUAAAUGGAACCUGACAAACUUCAUCUGUAUGGCUUUAGGGUGUCGAAAACAACAAAUUUGAUCCGUCGGCGCCGGAACCAGAAACGGAACCUUCCAAAGAGGAGGAGAAUCCCACUUCCAAGACUGAUAAAGACAUCGCUUUUUGUUAUUCAUAUUGUCAAUCAACAGCUGGUGGCUGACUCUACUUCGAACGGUUUUCAAGCUUUAAAACCGCAAUGAGUUUCAAAAUAGAUUUAAAAAGUGAAUAUAGGCUAUUGAUAUAAACACUUCAAUUAUAUUGGCUACUUUUCUACAAAUUAAUGAAAACAAUAUAAAAACUUUAAAGUAUUUUAACGACUAGUUUCGACCAUAGGUCAUAGGUCAAGUUCAUUUUUAAACUUGAGAAUGAUAUGGUCGAUACUAGCCGUUGAAAUAUUUUAAAGAUAUUCUAACUAAAGUUAUUAACUAAAUAAUUCAGGCUAUUCAUACUAUUUCACUUCAAAUUGUAACAAUUAAUGAGUUUCAAGAAUGUUCGUUCCUCUUUUGCUUCAAGAUCUAACACUGGAGGUUUUCAAAAGAUCUGAAAUAAUUUAUUAAUAUUUAUUUUGAUCAUAUAUUUUAAGUGUAUCUCAGAUAUCUUCAAAAUAGCAAAACUCCCUUCUUAAUGGGAAUACUCAGUAUUUUCAUAUUUAUAUUAUGUACAAAGUCUUGUUUAAUGAUCUAGUUUUAUAAAACUAGAUAUAAAUUAUUUAUUGUUUAUUCAUAGUUUUUGGGUGAAUUCUAGUGAUCCAUGUCAAUAUAACUUUGAUGGAUCCCGAAUGUUUCCUUGUGUAUGUAGAAUCACCUUUCUUUGUGAGAAUUACCUUUCAACCCCAACUAACGCUCAAUGUUGUAAAGCUGUAGUUUUGAUAAUCCUUAUCAUUCUACUGAAAUUUUCUUAUAGAAAAUAAUAAAAGUUCUAUUCAACUUGGUAUUCAUCAUUCAACAAAUCAUUAUUUUUUGUAGUUGAUUAAUCAGUAAUCAAUUUUAAUCAGUAUUUGGAGUUGAACAUUUUACAAAUUAAUGGCAAUUUGUAUUUUUAUGUAUGAAAUAUUUAUUUAGAAACUAAAAUUUCAUAAUACAAUGGAAUACCUAGGAAUAAUAAUCUUAUUUGUUAUUUCAUGUUCAUCAUAUUUAUUUGAAAGUAUAAUGAGUGUAAACGGUUUCUUCCCAAUGCAUUUAUAUAGAAAUCAUAGCAAGCGUAAUCCAACUGUUUUCCAACUGUAGAUUCUGUGUUACCAAUUCUAGACAUGUUAAUGAAUAGUACUAGGAUUUAAUGUAAUAAAUAUUUCUAUUCACACGUGUUUCAAAUUGUGAGACGGGAUGUUUCUGUUGAAAAGUAAAACUAUUUUCUACUGCUGAAAAACAAUUGAAAUGCUAAUAUUCCAAUUUGAAAUGAAAAAACAUAUAGGUAACAGAUUUUUUCAUAAUUCUUGUAAGAAAAUAAUUUCAGAUUUCAUUGUAAGUAUGUUAUGGCACUCUUUGUUAUAAAAAAUUGAUUUCAAAUGCCAAUAAAAGUA
Nilaparvata lugens (brown planthopper) is the source of this 1844-nucleotide long non-coding RNA. RefSeq lists it as uncharacterized. Lineage: Eukaryota; Metazoa; Arthropoda; Insecta; Hemiptera; Delphacidae. The transcript has 4 exons. The record is from RefSeq and is a predicted model, not a curated record.